UACGGAUACGAUCUCUAUUUU
RNAcentral lists this non-coding RNA (21 nucleotides) under Caenorhabditis elegans. Lineage: Eukaryota; Metazoa; Nematoda; Chromadorea; Rhabditida; Rhabditidae. The record is from RNAcentral.